Molecule: ribosomal RNA, 497 nt
Filed under: uncultured bacterium
Lineage: Bacteria
Description: partial 16S ribosomal RNA
Rfam family: Bacterial small subunit ribosomal RNA
Source: RNAcentral
GAUGAACGCUGGCGGCGUGCCUAAUACAUGCAAGUCGAGCGAACAGACGAGGAGCUUGCUCCUCUGACGUUAGCGGCGGGCGGGUGAGUAACACGUGGAUAACCUACCUAUAAGACUGGGAUAACUUCGGGAAACCUGAUCCAAUACCCGACAAUAUAUUGAACCGCGUGGUUCAAUAGUGAAAGACGGUUUUGCUGUCCCUUAUAGAUGGAUCCGCGCCGCAUUAGCUAGUUGGUAAGGUAACGGCUUACCAAGGCUACGAUGCGUAGCCGACCUGAGAGGGUGAUCGGCCACACUGGAACUGAGACACGGUCCAGACUCCUACGGGAGGCAGCAGUAGGGAAUCUUCCGCAAUGGGCGAAAGCCUGACGGAGCAACGCCGCGUGAGUGAUGAAGGUCUUCGGAUCGUAAAACUCUGUUAUUAGGGAAGAACAAAUGUGUAAGUAAAUAUGCACGUCUUGACGGUACCUAAUCAGAAAGCCACGGCUAACUACGUG